CCUCCCCGAAGGGCGGCAGCCUGGCAGGGCCCGAGAGCUGCCCGCGGUGGGGAGGGGAUAGCGGGGCGGACCCGGAGGACAUGGAGGGCGAGGAGGCCCCGUCAUGGCGGGGUCCCGGCGGGGCCGUGCGGGAGCUCUGCCGCUCCUUCGGCCACUACAACCGGCACCUGGCGCGGCUGCAGCACAACCUGCGAGAGACCAAGAGGUUCUUCCGCGACGUCAAGUUCUCCCAGGGACAUCCCUUCGCCUCGGCGCCUGCCGGUGACGGCCCCCGCUCCGCCUGGGAUGGGGAUGGGGGUCCCGGGGACGGCGGCCACGGCCCGGUGUCGUUCCCGCGGCACGAGGAGGAGCAGCUGCAGCGCUCGGUGAGCUGGCGGCCGUGCCUGCUGAUCCUGGGCCAGAACUGCCGCGCCAAGGGCCGCCUGCUCAACACGCUGCUGGGCCAGGAGCUGCUGCCCGUGCCCGGGGCUGCCACUGCCACCAAGGAGCUGCUGCCCACCCCUGGGGCUGCCACUGCCACCGAGGAACUGCUGCCCACCCCUGGGGCUCCCACCGCGGCGCUGCUGCCUGGGGCUGGCACCAAGGAGCUGCUGCCCACCCCCGGGGCUGGCACUGGCACUGAAGAGCUGCUUUCCACCACUGGCACUGAAGAGCUGCUUUCCACCGCUGGGACUGUCACCAAGGAGCUGCUGCCCACCCCCGGGGCUGGCACGGGCACCGAGGAGCGCUGCCGGCGCCGCCGGGUGCGCUUCACGCACGGGGCGCGGCCGCGGCUGAGCCUGGCGCUGCCCGGGCAGUACGAGCUGGUGCAGGCGCUGGUGGCACACAGCGGGCACUGGGACACCAUCCCCGAGCAGGACCUGCAGGUGCCCGGGGACGCCGAGGAUCCCGCGCAGAGGGUGGCAGAGCUGGAGGUGGUGCUGCCCUGCGCGCUGCUCAAGGAAGUGGACAUUGUGGUGGCUCCGUGCCGGGGCUUCCAGUCAGCUGAGGCCACCCUGGCCGAGUUUGUGAACCAGGUGCUGCCCGUUGUCACCUUUGCCAUCAGCGAGCCCCAGCUGUCCCCAUCGGACCAGGCAGAACUUCGGGAAAUCAAAGAAAAAUUCUCCCUCCCCAUCUUCUUCCUCCGAAUCCCCGAGGCCGGCAGUGAGCUGAGCUCCCCCAAAAACCCCACCAAGGCCAAAUCCCCGCUGCACCUCCAGCUGCUGGAUCUGGAAUACCUGAGCCCCUCCAGCCCCUGCGGCUGCGGCGUUCCCGGCUCUUCCAUGCUGGUGGAGCAGCUGGAGAAGCUGCGGCUGCUGAGCUCCUUCUCCAGGCAGGUGCUGCAGCAGCACCUGGUGGAGGCGGCCACGAGGCUGAGCGAGGUUCACGGGCGCUGCCUCAACAUCUUCAUCAACCAGGCCUUCGACAUGCAGCGGGACCUGCAGAUCACGCCCAAGCGGCUGGAGUACACGCGCAGGAAGGAGAACGAGCUCUACGAGUCGCUGAUGGGCAUCGCCAACCGCAAGCAGGAGGAGAUGAAGGAGAUGAUCGUGGACACCCUGGGGAAUAUGAAGGAGGAGCUGCUGGAGGAUGCUGCCAGUAUGGAGUUCCGAGACAUCAUCAUUCCCGAGAGCGGCGAGCCCGUCAGCUCCAAGGACAUCAAGCGCUGCAUCCAGCAGAUCCAGGAGCUGAUCAUCUCCAGGCUGAACCAGGCCGUGGCCAACAAACUGAUCAGCUCCGUGGAUUACCUGCGCGAGAGCUUCGUGGGGACCCUGGAGCGCUGCCUCAAGAGCCUGGAGGAGUCCUGGGAGGGCUCCGUGCACCCGCCCCGGGGGCUGGAGAAACCCCGCGAGGCCUCCGGCCACAUCACCAGCAACUAUCUCAAACAGAUCCUGAACGCAGCCUAUCACGUGGAGGUCACUUUCCACUCGGGCUCCACGGUGACCAGGAUGCUGUGGGAACAGAUCAAACAGAUAAUCCAGCGGAUCACGUGGGUCAGCCCCCCGGCCAUCACCAGCGACUGGAAGAGGAAGGUGGCCCAGGAUGCCAUCGAGAGCCUCAGCGCCUCCAAACUGGCCAAGAGCAUCUGCAGCCAGUUCCGCACGCGCCUCAACAGCUCCCACGAGGCCUUCGCCGCCUCCCUGCGCCAGCUGGAGGACGGCCACUCGGGCCGGCUCGAGAGGACCGAGGACCUGUGGCUGCGCGUGAGGAAGGAGCACGCGCCGCGGCUGGCCCGGCUCUCGCUGGAGAGCAGAUCCCUGCAGGACGUGCUGCUGCACGGGAAGCCCAAGCUGGGCAGGGAGCUGGGCCGAGGCCAGUACGGGGUGGUGUACCUGUGUGACAGCUGGGGGGGACACUUCCCCUGCGCCCUCAAAUCCGUCGUCCCUCCGGAUGAGAAGCACUGGAACGACCUGGCACUGGAAUUUCACUACAUGAGGUCCCUGCAGUCCCACGAGAGGCUGGUGCACCUGCAUGGCUCCGUUAUUGAUUAUGGCUAUGGAGGAGGCUCCAGCAUUGCUGUGCUGCUGAUCAUGGAGAGGCUGCACAGGGACCUCUACACGGGGCUGAAGGCUGGGCUGGAAUUGGAGCCACGGUUGCAGAUUGCGUUGGAUGUGGUGGAAGGGAUCCGGUACCUGCACAGCCAGGGCUUGGUGCACAGGGAUAUCAAACUCAAAAACGUCCUGCUGGACAAAAAGAAUCGGGCCAAAAUCACGGAUUUGGGGUUCUGCAAACCCGAGGCGAUGAUGUCUGGCAGCAUCGUGGGCACCCCCAUCCACAUGGCUCCCGAGCUCUUCACAGGGAAAUACGACAAUUCCGUGGAUGUUUAUGCCUUUGGGAUCCUGUUCUGGUACCUCUGCUCGGGCCACGUGAAGUUACCCGAGGCUUUUGAGAGGUGUGCGAGCAAAGAUCACCUGUGGAACAACGUCAGGAGAGGGGUGCGUCCGGAGCGGCUCCCGGUGUUUGACGAGGAAUGCUGGCAGCUGAUGGAAGCCUGCUGGGACGGGGACUCCUCCCAGCGGCCUCUCCUGGGAAUCGUGCAGCCCAUGCUCCAGGGAAUCAUGGACAGGCUCUGCCGGGCCGGCUCCGAGCAUCCCAGCAAAGGCCUGGAUGACUCCACCUGAGCGGGAAUUGCGGCGGGAUUUUGGGAAUUCCAGCCCCGCCUCUGCCGUGGAGCUGCGAGCCAGCCCUGAGGGGGGACAGGGAGGAGCUCCAAGGGGUGGCAGCUCCAUCCCAAUCCCACCCCGUUAUCCUAUGGAAUUGUGUGGGACAGGGAGGGGCUCAGGGAGUGACAGCUCAAUCCCACCCCGUUAUCCUAUGGAAUUGUGUGGGACAGGGAGGGGCUCAGGGGGUGACAGCUCAAUCCCACCCCGUUAUCCUAUGGAAUUGUGUGGGACAGGGGGGGGCUCAAGGGGUGGCAGCUCCAUCCCAAUCCCACCCUGUUAUCCUAUGGAAUUGUGUGGGACAGGGAGGGGUGACAGCUCAAUCCCACCCCGUUAUCCCUACGGAAUUGUUUGGGACAGGGGGUGGCAGCUCCAUCCCAAUCCCACCCUGUUAUCCCUACGGAAUUGUUUGGGACAGG
This is an RNA transcript of Vidua chalybeata, 3559 nucleotides long. It is a transcript of the gene named dual serine/threonine and tyrosine protein kinase, with no coding region annotated. The record is from RefSeq and is a predicted model, not a curated record. Lineage: Eukaryota; Metazoa; Chordata; Aves; Passeriformes; Viduidae. The transcript is spliced from 14 exons.